This 536-nucleotide long non-coding RNA is filed under the name Gossypium raimondii (Peruvian cotton). RNAcentral describes it as "long non-coding RNA (GRAI_LNC006724)". Lineage: Eukaryota; Viridiplantae; Streptophyta; Magnoliopsida; Malvales; Malvaceae. The record is from RNAcentral.
UGCCUCGCAUUACCGACACAUCUCCAUUUCGGAGGCUCUUCAAGCAGCUCGAAUCGAUGCUCCUAAUGCAGCACAUCACCCUGCCUUGAAAAGCAAUGGAAGGGUCCUUAGCUUUGGCAUAGAUGCACCCAUUUGUGAUUCCAUGGCCUCUGUCUUAAACCUUGGGGAGAAAAAGGUUUUGAAUGGUGCCCGAAAUGGAUUUCAUGGUCUUGAAGAACAAAGAGUUUCGGUUCCAAACAGAAGGGAAAACGGUGAUGAUUGCUCGAGUGGAUCUUCUAUCACGGUUUCAAACUCAAUGGAGGAAGGUGGUAGAAGUUGCAUUCAGGAAAAUAGGAUGGGCAACAUUAAUGGCUUCCCUUCACCAAUUCCUUGUUUACCUGGUGUUCCUUGGCCUUAUCCAUGGAAUUCCGCGGUGCCUCCACCGGCAUUUUGCCCAUCCGGAUUUCCCAUGUCAUUCUAUCCUGCUGCAGCCUAUUGGAACUGUGGGAUUCCCGGCACUUGGAACGUGCCUUGGUUGUCUCCUCAGUCAUCAUCCA